AAUUUAAAGACUAUAGAAGACACUUUUUUGGGCUCCAGCUAUUUAUACUUUUGAAAGCUAUGUUGGUGAUUAUUGUGUUUUCUGUUCAUGUUUAACACAGAAAAUAACUCCCAAUAAUAGUACAUUAGCAAUGAGUUUAUGUAGAACAAAUACCAAAAAAAAAAAAUUGUAGUGGGUCUUUUCGGUAGGGUUGAUAGCAUCAUAUUGUCAACCUACUUUCUAGACUAUAGCUGUACCAUCUCAGCGUUGGCAAGUAAAAUUCUGUCUGGACAUUUCAAGAUAGUGUAGGGUCAUACAGGGCCGCCACAGCUAAGGACCACUGUGUUUCACUCAUCCAUAGUUCAGAAGAAUUCAGGGACGAGGCCUCUAGCUCUUACAUUCAUUGGCCAUUAUUUCAUUUAUGAACAUAAUUUGCAGCUUUACACAUGGCUCCCCAAGUCUCUAACAUGAUUAUCUCUUUUCAUAUUGGCUAGGUCUCUCCCAUUUAAACCACAAUGCUAAUUGAAUUUCUCUAAGUAAUCUUGAAUAGUACUGCUUAAAUCUAUUUAAAGAUAAAAGGGAACUGAUUUUGAAGAGGAAACUCAGUUGAGGCUAAAUCCUAUACCCGGGCACUGGAGAGAACAUUUCAACAUCAGUGUAAUUGACAUUUAUUGCAAUGUGUCUGUUUUAAUGGUAGAUAUACUUAAAUUGGUUUCCACAUUUCUGUCCAAGUGCAGCAGAUGGCAUGAGUUGACUGUGUAUGAAAUGGUGCCCUGUCUUAGGGGCACAGUCUCUGGAUUGAGGACAUCUCUUCUAUGCAUGAUCAGUUUUCUCUUGUUUUAAACUUCUGUGCCUUCUCUUAAAUAAGGACAAUUAUAUUUUCUUUCAUGUUGUUUCCCUAACUUAAAGUUAGUGAGAGAUAAAUGGUAGCCUUAUAUCUAGCACUGAUUUGACCUGUAAUUUAAGGAUAAUUUAAGGCAUACAAUUUUCUUCCUUUCUUUCUUUCUUUCUUUCUUUCUUUCUUUCUUUCUUUCUUUCUUUCUUUCUUCCUUCCUUCCUUCCUUCCUUCCUUCCUUCCUUUCUUUCUUUCUUUCUUUCUUUCUUUUUUUUUGGAAUUUAAAAAUAACUUCAAAACAAUUCAAGAGGUAUGAAAGGAAACAUGUCAAAUAUGGAGUCAAAUAGAAAGUAUAUGUGGAUGAAUGCAUUAUCCAGGAGAGUGUCCCACUCACCCUGUGGGUUUUGCUUUGUAAGUCCAGCACCAUGGCAGACAGAAACUCUAUAUAAAUAAGAGAAGGAUAAUGUUGCCCCCAAAGUGAUAACUUUCUAUUUACUUAACACACAUAUAUAAUGUGAUUAGAAGGUAGGCUUGUCUUACAGAGGAAGGAAUGGGUUCACAUAAGUUUUCCUCUUAAACAACAGUAAAAGCAAAAGCCAAAAACAAACAAACAAAACACCCCAUG
Molecule: long non-coding RNA, 1439 nt
Filed under: Mus musculus (house mouse)
Lineage: Eukaryota; Metazoa; Chordata; Mammalia; Rodentia; Muridae
Description: long non-coding RNA chr15:91757560-91758999
Source: RNAcentral